RNAcentral lists this ribosomal RNA (400 nucleotides) under uncultured Glomeromycotina. RNAcentral describes it as "SSU rRNA". It matches the Rfam family "Eukaryotic small subunit ribosomal RNA", at positions 569 to 972 of the family's 1831-position model. Lineage: Eukaryota; Fungi; Glomeromycota. The record is from RNAcentral.
AGCAGCCGCGGUAAAUUCCAGCUCCAAUAGCGUAUAUUAAAGUUGUUGCAGUUAAAAAGCUCGUAGUUGAAUUUCGGGGUCAGCAGGUUGGUCGUGCCACCGGUAUGAACUGGCCUUGCUGAUUCCUCCUUCUUGAAGAACCGUGAUGCCAUUAAUUUGGUGUUGCGGGGAAACAGGACUGUUACUUUGAAAAAAUUAGAGUGUUUAAAGCAGGCUAACGCUUGAAUACAUUAGCAUGGAAUAAUAAAAUAGGACGUUUGAUCCUAUUUUGUUGGUUUCUAGGGUUGACGUAAUGAUUAAUAGGGAUAGUUGGGGGCAUUAGUAUUCAAUUGUCAGAGGUGAAAUUCUUGGAUUUAUUGAAGACUAACUACUGCGAAAGCAUUUGCCAAGGAUGUUUUCA